UACUUGGUUGAUCCUGCCAAGGAAGCACACUUAGGUCAUAGAUUAAGCCAUGCAAGUGUUAGUUCAGGUAACGAAACUGCGAAUAGCUCAUUAAUACGCUCAGAAUCUAUUUGGCGGCGACCAACAGGUCUUAAAUGGAUAGCAGCAGCAACUCUGGUGCUAAUACAUGCGAUUGUUUCUCCAGAUGUGAAUUAUGGAGGAAAAGUUGACCUCAUCAGAGGCACGCCAUUCGACUGAGUGACCUAUCAGCUUGUACUUAGGGUCUUUACCUAGGUAGGCUAUCACGGGUAACGGGCGGUUACCGUCGGACUGCCGGAGAAGGCGCCUGAGAGAUAGCGACUAUAUCCACGGGUAGCAGCAGGCGCGAAACUUUCCCACUCGAGACUUUCGGAGGAGGUAAUGACCAGUUCCAUUGGUGCCUUUUGGUACUGUGGAUAGGGGUACGGUUUUCCACCGUACCGAAACCUAGCAGAGGGCCAGUCUGGUGCCAGCAGCUGCGGUAAUUCCAGCUCUGCGAGUUUGCUCCCAUAUUGUUGCAGUUAAAACGCCCGUAGUCUGAAUUGGCCAGCAAUGGUCGUACGUAUUUUUACGUUCACUGUGAACAAAUCAGGACGCUUAGAGUAUGGCCACAUGAAUGACUCAGCGCAGUAUGAAGUCUUUGUUUUCUUCCGAAAACAAGCUCAAUGAGAGCCAUCGGGGGUAGAUCUAUCUCAUGACGAGUGGUGGAAUACUUUGACUCAUGAGAGAGAAGCUGAGGCGAAGGCGUCUACCUAGAGGGUUUCUGUCGAUCAAGGGCGAGAGUAGGAGUAUCCAACAGGAUUAGAGACCCUGGUAGUUCCUACCUUAAACGAUGCCGACCAGGAGUUUGUCAUUUGUUAAUGGCAGAAUCUUUGGAGAAAUCAUAGUUCUUGGGCUCUGGGGGAACUACGAC
RNAcentral lists this non-coding RNA (931 nucleotides) under Trichomonas vaginalis G3. RNAcentral's name for it is "Eukaryotic small subunit ribosomal RNA". It matches the Rfam family "Eukaryotic small subunit ribosomal RNA", at positions 1 to 1129 of the family's 1831-position model. Lineage: Eukaryota; Parabasalia; Trichomonadida; Trichomonadidae. The record is from Rfam by way of RNAcentral.